UGGAAAGAACCAUUGAAGGAGAGAUCAUAAAAACUCAAGACCUGCCGUCGCUGGUCAUCAGCGUCAGUAAAAACCCAAAAGGUUUCAAACUCGCCUGGGACUUCUUGAAAACCAACUGGGAGAAACUUGUGAAAAAGUUUGAUCUCGGUUCGUCUGCGAUAUCUCGCAUGGCGGUCGGAGUGACCGAUCAGUAUUCCACCAGAGAAAUGCUCGAUGAGGUUCAGUCUUUCUUCGGGUCACUAGCGCAGGAUCAGGGCUCUGGGCUCCGCAGCGUUCAACAGGCCCUGCAGAAGAUCCAGCAGAACAUCCGCUGGAUGGACAGGAACGUCCCACUACUGAAAGCCUGGCUGGACAGAAACAGUCUGAUUGAGUCCUGACGAACUCUAGAGACACUUGAAAGUGUGUUUAACAGGGUGUGGAACUCAAGACUGCACCUAGUUUCACCUUGGGUACGGCACUUUACAAGGGCCAUAACACUGAAAGAAACCAGCUCCGAAUAUGAUCAUACAGAACAUGAACAUUUUUGAAAUGGCUGCAACAAAAGAAGUGUCUAAAUAAGUUUUAAAAUAUAAAUGCUAAAUGUCAACUCAAUGAAACCAGCGAUGCACCGAAAUUAGUUUUUACUGAAACACAAAAAACGAAAAUGAAGUGUUCAUUUGGUCAAGA
Molecule: long non-coding RNA, 666 nt
Organism: Sinocyclocheilus rhinocerous
Lineage: Eukaryota; Metazoa; Chordata; Actinopteri; Cypriniformes; Cyprinidae
Exons: 3
Source: RefSeq, a predicted model, not a curated record